GCUUACGGCCACACCGGCCUGAGUACGCCUGAUCUCGUCCGAUCUCGGAAGCUAAGCAGGGUCGGGCCUGGUUUAGUACUUGGAUGGGGAGACCGCCUGGGAUACCAGGUGCUGUAAGCU
RNAcentral lists this ribosomal RNA (120 nucleotides) under Oncorhynchus mykiss (rainbow trout). The record is from RNAcentral. Lineage: Eukaryota; Metazoa; Chordata; Actinopteri; Salmoniformes; Salmonidae.